AAAAGAUUAAAUAAAUGGCGUUCGUCAUGAUCGUUAUCACAAGGUGAUUAAUUUCUAUCUAUGUACUGUUUAACUCAGUGUCAAUUAUAAUUUGAAUUAAUUAAAUAAUAAAAUAAAUAAUCUCAAAACGUAUUUAAAUAAAUGUAACAAAUAUAUAAAAUAAUGCAACUAAUUAAUCCAAUAUACAUUGCGGUAACAAUCUGCUGUUUAAUACACCAAGGCAUUUAUAUAUCUGCUGGUUAUGUUACAUUGACACAUGAUGGACCGACAGUGCGAGGUGGUAUUAUUACUUUUCAAGCUGAUCUUCACUAUGAUUAUGGCUCUAGGCCUUCAGGUACAUUUGAUUACUUUUGGAGAGAUGAUGCAAUUCCCUCUCAUAAACAUGAGGUUUUAGGUAUCAAAAAUACGACAAACAUUUGGCAAGUUCAAUAUCCUGCUGAUUUAUAUCCUGUAGGAGAAUAUACAGUUGAAAUUAAAGUAAGACGAGUAAUUUAUUUUAUUUUGCCAGAUAUAACAAGUCAACAUCGAACAUUUGAAAUAACUUCUCUUCUCAAUGGAAAUAUGACAAUAGUCCAAUCUAAUAACACUGUGAAUAAUGAUUAUGUAUCAUCUGCCUCCGAAGCUGAAGUAAAAAUUAACUUACGUAAAGGUGAUGCAGAAUAUAUUGAUAAAAAUGCUACUGAAAUUGAAACUCAUUGGUUUGUGAAUUGUAAAUAUUAUGGACAAACAAAUGAUUAUACUUUUCGUUAUAAUUUUACGAAACCUGACUCUACGGCAUUAAUAGAAGCGUUAGUUAUUGCUUCCUUUGAACCUCCUACUACUAUUGUACCGUCUACAAUAACUACUUCAAUAAUUCUUUCAACAAAUACUACAACGAUUGCUUCGAAUAGUAAUAAUAGUACUAUUUUUAAGUCCAAUUCAACUAUUAUAGAAUCUACUACACCUAGUACAGCUAAAAAUUUAACAAAUACGUCAGUUAAACCUACUGAAUCAACAAAAAUAUCUAACGAUUCUGAUGUACGUUUUCCAUAUGUGUGUGUAAAUUCAAGUGUAAUCCCAGAUCCCAAGAAAACAUAUGGAUAUUUCCGGAGAGAAGUUCAAGUUAAAGUUCCCAUUAAAAAUAUAACAGUUGAAGGUACAAAUUGGAUAAAACCAUGGGAUAUGUUGUCUCUAAAUGUCACUUGCCAUGGUUCUGGUCCAUUUUAUCAAUGUUUAGAAUAUCAUCGUGGUAAUUAUAACAUUACUGGCAAUGAAACAUGUGAAAAAGGUUCACGUCUUGAGUCCUGCAACUUUUCAAUCACUCAUUAUUUUUUGGAUCCAACUGUUUAUACAAUCGUAGUAAUUCUCAAAAAUGACAUCAGUAAAUUAGUUUAUCCAUUAACUAUCAACAUUUAUGAAGUGACCACCAAGCCUCAACUAUCGGUAAUUGUAGUACCUGUUUCUUGUUCCUUGGCAGCAGUUGUUUUAAUAGUCUUUGGAAUCGCUUAUUAUCUCCAGAGCCGUGCAAGAUUUACGGUAGAAGUAGCAGAUUUUGAUUUCGGUCAAAAUAAUCCAGAAUUAGAAUACAAGACAUUCACGGAGCGACUGCGGGAUUCAUUUAAUAGCACUGGUUAUAAGCCACUAAGUGAACCUAAAAUUCAAAAUUGAAUGCACAAAUUUGAUUUAGAAAAAAUGACACAAGCAUUACAAAGAGGAAGUAUCAAUGAAUGCCAAUAGGCAAAAUAUUUAAUAAUUUUGUAAAUAUAAUACCUCGUGGACUACAGAAUAUAGGAGAUGGCCUGUAUUAGGAAACAUCUACGCUUUGAUUAGAAUUAUUAUUUUUUUUUUUUUUUAAGUUUACAAUAGAUAUUUAUUUAAUCAAUUAAAUAUUUACAUUUAUUAGAAGUAUAUUAAUUAAUAUAUAUCAUUUAUGUACAUA
Molecule: unclassified non-coding RNA, 1918 nt
Filed under: Chelonus insularis
Lineage: Eukaryota; Metazoa; Arthropoda; Insecta; Hymenoptera; Braconidae
Description: uncharacterized LOC118065169, transcript variant X1
Source: RNAcentral